RNAcentral lists this ribosomal RNA (822 nucleotides) under Triticum aestivum (bread wheat). RNAcentral's name for it is "partial small subunit ribosomal RNA". Lineage: Eukaryota; Viridiplantae; Streptophyta; Magnoliopsida; Poales; Poaceae. The record is from RNAcentral.
AUGCAUUCCAUUCUCUAUAGCUUCUACUUCAAAUUGUUGAUCUUGCUAGUAGCUAUGGAUCCUAAUGGCUCCUAUCCUAACAUUUCCCCCUUGCAUGAAGCAUUGAGAGGCACGACAGCCAUGCCGACAUUAAAAGAUUUUGUAGCCCUUGAAUCCCCAUCAUCAAAUUCACCUUCAAUAGAAAAUUCCUCACCAAUCAUCCAUGCACCACGAGAAGCUUAUGUGAUGUUAGUCAAUGAUAGAUCCAUGAUUCCAUACCAAUCACAUACAGACCUCGCACCACUACCCCCACAAUUGGGUGAUAUGAUCCCUAAUCCUUUAUCCUUGGACAAAAAAGAAAUGUUCUCACAUGAAGAAUUCCUCACAAAUCCUUUUUGGAAUGACUUUGACUCAUCUCAUCAGAGGCAUAAUAUUUCCAUGGAAGCUUCAUCCUUUACAUCGUUACUCCAAACAGAACAAAAAAUAAUUGUUCAUUCCCAAGUUAUCGCUAUGGGCGAGCCGGAUGAUGGUUCGAUCUCUAAGAUGGACAUCAAGCAUGUCUCAAAGGAACAGAACAUACAAGAUGGGAGAUUGUUAUUUGAUGAUCCUUAUGGUGUACCUACCCCUGGUUCUCCAGGCAUGCGGUCCUCACCUAUUCCAAGAGAAGAUAAAAUCCCUCUAGUUGGUGCAAAUGCUAUUUCUGAUAGUGGUAUUACACAUGGUCCUACAACAGCACGCAAGUACAAAUGCAAGAUUUGCAGUGCCACAUUCAACUCAUCUCAAGCAUAUGGUGGUCACAUGAGUUCGCAUAGCAAAGCAAGGAUGAAAAGCCUACAAAGUUGA